Long non-coding RNA from Hypomesus transpacificus, 538 nucleotides. RefSeq lists it as uncharacterized. NCBI's taxonomy places the organism in Eukaryota, Metazoa, Chordata, Actinopteri, Osmeriformes, Osmeridae. The transcript has 3 exons. The record is from RefSeq and is a predicted model, not a curated record.
UUUUUUUUUUUCCAGUUUUUUGCUCAAUUGGAAACCAAUCCUAAAUGGGUAAACUAGCAUCGACAGAUGGGUGGACGAUAAUGGGGCUCCUUACUUAAAAAAAUGUCGGCCACGAGAAAACGAACGAAUCACUCUCUAAGGGUACACCAAAAGGACUUCCAUACUGUCCUGUCUAUCUGCGGUGUGAUCCAAGCUGCUGGGACGUUUGGACAUCCACACCUCUUAUUCAGCUUUUGCACUUGUGUCAGGCUGGUACAGUAACCAAGGCUAGCACAACAGCCUUGAACUCUGCUACUCAAGCAGGCAUGACAAUGGAGCUGAACUCAUUUGAUGACCAGUAUCUCAACUGUGGAGAAAGAAUGCUUCAGAAAGUUCUGGAACCAGGAGGAUUGCUGGAAAAAGAACUGCAAGCAGACUCGGAUUACUUGGAAGCUUGGAAAGAUGGGAAAAGACGCCCUAAGAAGGCUGAAUAAGACAAACGGCUGUUUCAACGUCAUAAGUGGAUUUCACACCAACUUUGAAAUGACAAAAGUGAACU